RNAcentral lists this transfer RNA (72 nucleotides) under Erinaceus europaeus (western European hedgehog). It matches the Rfam family "tRNA". Rfam says of the family: Transfer RNA (tRNA) molecules are approximately 80 nucleotides in length. Their secondary structure includes four short double-helical elements and three loops (D, anti-codon, and T loops). Further hydrogen bonds mediate the characteristic L-shaped molecular structure. tRNAs have two regions of fundamental functional importance: the anti-codon, which is responsible for specific mRNA codon recognition, and the 3' end, to which the tRNAs corresponding amino acid is attached (by aminoacyl-tRNA synthetases). tRNAs cope with the degeneracy of the genetic code in two manners: having more than one tRNA (with a specific anti-codon) for a particular amino acid; and 'wobble' base-pairing, i.e. permitting non-standard base-pairing at the 3rd anti-codon position. Lineage: Eukaryota; Metazoa; Chordata; Mammalia; Eulipotyphla; Erinaceidae. The record is from Rfam by way of RNAcentral.
UUGAGUGGAGCUCAGUGGCAGAGGCCAGGCCUUGUGUGUCUGAGGUCCUGGGUUCUAUUCCCAGCACUAAAA